UAUUAUAUUCCACAAAUAAUCUAAAACAAAAUCAGAUUAAUCAGAUUAAAAUUUUCAAGCUACUAUAUUCCAUAAAUAAUUUGUCUUUCCCAUAAUUAAAUAAUCUGAAACAAAAUCAGAUUAAAACUUUCAAGCUAUUAUAUUCCAUAUAUAAUCUAAAACAAAAUCAGAUUCUGAAACUUGCUUCUAAUAUACCCAAAACUAAAAAAAGUAGUUCUAAUUUUUGAUAUUUUUCAUCCGAAAAUUCCAAAAAAUUAGAAAAAUAGAACGGAGCGAUCUGAGAGGCGCCACCUACACGCCCCACGCUUCUCCUUUAUAUAAGUAUAUUGAUGAUUGAUUCUCAAAACAUCAAUUUGAAAAAAAUGGGACCUGCUGGGAUAUACUCCAUCUAUCAAUAUUUAUCUAUGUGCAUAUUCGAGAGAGAAAAUUGAAGACAAGCGAGGUACUAGAAACAAGGAUUAAUCGGUGAUUAAUCGUGAUUAAUCACCAACUUUUAGAACAGAAUUAAAAGUCUACAACUGGGGUCUGGGACUCUGGGCUAUAUGAAACGACAAUGGACAAUAAAAAAAAGAACUAGCUAUUGAAUCAAAAUUGGGCUGAUACUUAAAUCAAUGAUAGUGAAAUCAGCUUGAUGGGCUUUAGUCGUCUUCCCUAUUGAACAAUUAUUGGGCAAAUUUUAAAGAUCAAUUGAAAUUAACUAUGUGCACUGGGCCGUCUACCCACUUCACGUUUCUCUGUUUUCACCACUGUGAUAGACAAAACUUUAUUAUCUCCCUUGUGUGUGAGCUUUUCUAAGAGCAACUCGCCCAAAUCGGACAAUAAUAUCAGAAUCUGGCUCAUGCCCAACUCCUGCAGUGGAAUUUGUGAAAAGGAUCCUACUAUUUCUAUAAUGAUUUAAU
RNAcentral lists this long non-coding RNA (899 nucleotides) under Daucus carota (carrot). RNAcentral's name for it is "long non-coding RNA (DCAR_LNC001443)". Lineage: Eukaryota; Viridiplantae; Streptophyta; Magnoliopsida; Apiales; Apiaceae. The record is from RNAcentral.